Molecule: ribosomal RNA, 3720 nt
Filed under: Triticum aestivum (bread wheat)
Lineage: Eukaryota; Viridiplantae; Streptophyta; Magnoliopsida; Poales; Poaceae
Description: partial small subunit ribosomal RNA
Source: RNAcentral
AUGCCGCUGUCUGACCUUUGCUUUGAGCGAGGGCAUGCCUUCGAGGACCGCAUCCGCUCCUCCAUGAAUCUGCCGAUCAACUUCACAGCAGAGCAUGGUCAGAGGGAAUUCUUUCUGGUGACAGAAUUUACCAGAUCAAAGAUUCAUCUCACAGGGGAAUCGGUAGGUACCAUUCUUCUUUCGUGCUUUGGUGGUCGAGCUUCUCUAUACAAGGUCCGCAAGCUGCGUGAGCAUCUUUUCAAGUUCUCUGUCUCUUCGAUCAAUGUGGGCUUUGCGAUCUAUAAUGGAGGGAAUGUUUCUUUGCCUGAAUUCAAUCUUGGUUUUCUCCUUUGGGGUUCCAAUGGUCCUAAAUUUCAUUCCCUUACUGAUCCUGAUCAAGACAAUGGGUGGACCUUAGUCUCGAGAUCAAGAAAUGUGAAUUCUUUUGCUGAUGCAAUUCGUGCACCAAGAUUCUUCAACCAAGCUUCAAUUCAACCUCAGAACCGUAGAUCUCGCCCCGCUCAAUCAAUGGUGGCAGUUACUACGGUCUUUGAUCGGCUUCAAUUUCCGGAAACGGGCAAUAAUGAGGCGGCAAAUCAGCGAAUUCAAACUGGCCCAGCAGUUGGCUCUAGUUUUUUGGCGGCCCAUUCUUCUGGCGAGGCCUGGCCCAACUUAUUAUGUGUCCGUUGUUUGCUAAAGGGCCAUGAGAGAUCGGGUUGCAAGAAUAAAAUCUGGUGUCAUAAUUGCAAAAGGUGGGGCCAUGUUGCCAGUGACUGCCGCUCGGGCUUCCGCUCCCUCGCUUUGUCAAAUCAAUUGACUACCUCAGUAUCUGCUACUGCCGCUGCAGCCCUCGUUAAUGGUGCGAUUCCAGUGCCUCAAUCGAGGAAUGCUAUCGAUCGCCCCGACAAUCAAGAUCCCAAUAUUAUUCCCCCACCUACGAAUUCCUCUGCUUCUGAGCCUCAUCUUGCUCGCUCCUCCCCUCUUCCACCUCCACCGCCGCUAACCAUCAGCAGGUUACUGCAAUCUUCAGAGCAGGAGGGAGAGCUAGUUCUGCGCGCCAUGGCCAACUUCCCGUUUGAUCCGACUCCGUUUCUUCCUUCGCAUCAUCAAGCAAUCCAAGUGGAGGGGCGACCUGCUAGAGUGAGGGUAAUUUCUGACCCUGCUCUGCCUCGGCAUGAAGAUUGGGCUAUAGCUACCAUUGUUCUUAUGCCCAACCAGCAAGUUCAUUUUCCUAAUGUGAGGCAGAUCCUUGGUGAGUUUCUUACUCAAGUCAAGCACCUAGGGUUUCAUGAGAUCUGCCAGUGCCCCUUUGGUCAAGCUUAUGUUAGAUUAAGAUCGCCUUUUGAUCGUGAUGCUCUGGUUCUGCAAAGCCCUCAUGUGCAUGGUGAUGUUCAUAUUAUAUUACAGAGGCAUAAUCAGGGCCUUAACUGGAGAAACCUUGAGCUGAAUAGAGAUAUUUGGGCUUUGUUGGUUGGCUUCCCAUUUGAUAAGAGGGAAAUGCAUGAACUAGCAAACUCUAUUAGAAGUUUUGGUAAGCUGCUGCUAUGGGACAGGGCUAGGAGCACUCAAGCAGCCCUGAUGGUUAAGAUUAGAGUUGAAAACAUGAGUGAUGUUCCUAUAAGUAUUGCUGUGGGUGAAUCUGAUGAUCCCAAUGCAGAAUCUUGGACCGUACCUGUUGCCAUUAUCCAGCAAGAGCCAUUGGGUGGAGGCUCACCUGAUGAAGAUCUAGUACCUGUUGAUGGCAAUCCUCAUCCUCAGCCUCAACACCAGGCUCAAGAUGUUAUGGGAGGUGAUCCUCAAAAUUUCCAUCACCAAGCUAUGCAGAAUGAUGCAGAGGAUGUAGAUCAAGAGGAGGAUGAUGAGGAGCUUCCUGGCUGGGGGCAUUGGGCAAUGCCAGCAGAAAAUGAUGAUCUCAUUGACCAGGAGCUGGAAGAGGGGGAAUUCAUGGAUCUUGCUGAUCUGUUUCAGCCUUUGGAUGAGCAGCACCAAAAUAAUCUUCCUGAUAUGGAUAUGAACAGUGAUUUAACACUCUCUGUGGGAUCCAAUGGGGUGGACAUUGACAUGCUUGAAGCCCAUGCACAGCCAAAUUUGGAGGGAAAUGAGAUUUUGAACUUAAUGGGCCAGGCCCAAGUUGGUAUUCCAGACCUCAAUUUGGCCCUUGGGCCCAUGCCAGCUUUGCCACAGGAAGCCUUUCAGCCACAUGCUCAGCCUGCUUUUGCUCAACCUGCCGUGGCUACUCCCCUGGACUUUAUAAACCUGCUGCCUUCUGUGGGAACAAAUGUCAGACUUGAUCUUGAUCUUAACCAAGUGUUACCUCAGUCAUCUCUUGUUGGUCUUAACAUCCAAGCCCAAGUUAUUUCUCCCAGGGUUGAAAAUGAGCUAACAGUUGACAUGAAUUUGGUGGAAGAGGAUGGAUCUCUUUUCUACCUGAAUCUUGCUGAGGGUGAAGAUCCUAUGAUUCAGCUAGCUUCUCCUUCUGAAAUCCUGGCUACUAUGAUCAGAGAAGAUGACCAGAGCUCCUAUGUUGAUGAGGAAAUUGAAAUCCUGGACUAUUCUUCAGAUGUUUCUUCCAAACCAGAUUCGACCUUAGAAAGUAUUAAUGUCACCUGCACCUCAUCCUCAACUUGUUCAGCACCCCCAAGUUUUAAUAUCAAAGGAAAGUAUUUAGCUAAUUAUGUCCCUGCUGGCUCUACUGCAAAUUCUGACAUACAUGAAAUGGCUUUUUACUCUGCUUGGGAGCAACAUUUUUCUGUCACCACAGAAGGCACCACAGCAGUCAAGGUACCCUUAGAUUGGAUGGAUUUCAUUUGCUCUACUUUAUUGACCCCUGAUAAAUUUGAUUGGGCAAAAGGGUUCUUGCAAUCCCCUAUGUGGCAUAUCAUCUGUGAAGAGUUUCAACAAUCUCAUCAUCUUGUAUUCUUCAUUACUUCUACUUGUCCUGUAACUAUGGCUCCUUCAUGCUCUCAGUUGCAGAAUCUUGGCUUGGAGGAAGUCCAACCUCCACCUGUGGCUGAAGAUGCUAGCUUCUGCAGUCCUGCUGCUGCCAAAGGAAAAAGAAAAGACAGAGUGCCACUAGUUGAAUCUGAGGUAAGAAGAAGUGAAAGAUUGCAGCAUUUAAAUAAGGGCUAUAGGAAGAAAUCUUGUCAUGAUAAUAACUGUAUGGCCUGCUCUGCUAAACCUCCUGUCUGCAACUCCAAAGUAAUUAAGAAUCUUAAUUCCUCUUACUGCAAGGUGGACCCAAAAGUCUUCACUGAAGAGAACCUCCUGCAAAAGAAGGUAGACACAACUUUCUGGAUUGGUUCAGAAACAUCCAGAUGCCUGUUGAAUCUGAUUGGAUCAUCACAGGAGAUUUCAAUUAUAUCAGAUAUCCCUCUAACAGGAAUGUUGGCACUGGCGUCGCUCCCAUCCUCUGGCCGCAGUUCCACGAGCUCCGUGCUCCGGCCGCCGCUACGGCCGAAUAGCUCCACGCUUCUGAGCUUCUCUGCUCAUUUGCAUUGCGCCGAUGAGCUCCUGGUGACCCCACCGGCCGCGGCCGCCCACACCCGUAGCCACGGCCCCCGAUCGCGCCCGCUCCGCCCAUCUCCACUGCCUGCAGCUCGCUCGUCGGCGGCGACCCGCGCCCACUCCGCAUGCCUCGGCCGUUCCUCUGCACGCGCUGCACCGCCCCCGGUCACACCCUACGCCUGCCUCGCCAUGCUCCGGCCCCACGCCUGCCUCGCCAUGCUCCGGCCCCACGCCUAG